Molecule: ribosomal RNA, 497 nt
Filed under: uncultured bacterium
Lineage: Bacteria
Description: partial 16S ribosomal RNA
Rfam family: Bacterial small subunit ribosomal RNA
Source: RNAcentral
GAUGAACGCUGGCGGCGUGCCUAAUACAUGCAAGUCGAGCGAACGGACGAGAAGCUUGCUCCUCUGAUGUUAGCGGCGGACGGGUGAGUAACACGUGGAUAACCUACCUAUAAGACUGGGGUAACUUCGGGAAACCGGAGCUAAUACCGGAUAAUAUUUUGAACCGCAUGGUUCAAAAGUGAAAGACGGUCUUGCUGUCACUUAUAGAUGGAUCCGCGCUGCAUUAGCUAGUUGGUAAGGUAACGGCUUACCAAGGCAACGAUGCGUAGCCGACCUGAGAGGGUGAUCGGCCACACUGGAACUGAGACACGGUCCAGACUCCUACGGGAGGCAGCAGUAGGGAAUCUUCCGCAAUGGGCGAAAGCCUGACGGAGCAACGCCGCGUGAGUGAUGAAGGUCUUCGGAUCGUAAAACUCUGUUAUUAGGGAAGAACAAAUGUGUAAGUAACUGUGCACAUCUUGACGGUACCUAAUCAGAAAGCCACGGCUAACUACGUG